Molecule: unclassified non-coding RNA, 440 nt
Filed under: Hevea brasiliensis (rubber tree)
Lineage: Eukaryota; Viridiplantae; Streptophyta; Magnoliopsida; Malpighiales; Euphorbiaceae
Source: RNAcentral
UUCUCAAAUCAAUUUGAUUGUGAUACUAUUACCACAUUGAGUGACAGCCAGGAGCAGUAUAGUUCUACAGAUAAUCUUUCAGAAGCCAGCCCUUCUUGUAACUCUUCACGUGAACCUGGUAGUUAUUUUCAUCGGCAGAGUCCCCCAUUGUCGCGAGAUGCAAAUUCUAGCAAGAACAUAAAAUACACAUUGCUGCAAUUGGAGACUGCUCUUAUGGCACCUGAUGAUGAUGAAGACAUGUCAAUAGCUGAUACUUCUUUGGGGGAAAGUAGUAGACCACAGACAUCAGGUCAGAGGACUGGGGCCUGGAGCCAGGAGCACCAUGUUUCUUGCGUGAUUCCGGCUCAUACAUCUAUUGAUUCUAGGCAUAGGCAAUCAGGUGAAGGUGCUGCUGUUGAGAAACAUCAAAAACCAUUGGAGGAAGCAAAAUUUCAAAGUAU